GAUGAACGCUGGCGGCGUGCUUAAUACAUGCAAGUCGAACGAAGCACCUUGGACAGAAUCCUUCGGGAGGAAGACCAUUGUGACUGAGUGGCGGACGGGUGAGUAACGCGUGGGUAACCUGCCUUGUACAGGGGGAUAACAGUUGGAAACGACUGCUAAUACCGCAUAAGCGCACAGUACCGCAUGGUACGGUGUGAAAAACUCCGGUGGUACAAGAUGGACCCGCGUCUGAUUAGCUUGUUGGUGAGGUAACGGCCCACCAAGGCGACGAUCAGUAGCCGACUUGAGAGAGUGAUCGGCCACAUUGGGACUGAGACACGGCCCAAACUCCCUACGGGAGGCAGCAGUAGGGAAUAUUGCACAAUGGGGGAAACCCUGAUGCAGCGACGCCGCGUGAAGGAAG
This 403-nucleotide ribosomal RNA is filed under the name uncultured bacterium. Its description in RNAcentral is "bacterial SSU rRNA". It matches the Rfam family "Bacterial small subunit ribosomal RNA", at positions 28 to 410 of the family's 1533-position model. The record is from RNAcentral.